UAUCAUCGGCGUAUCGAAGGUUGGUGAU
RNAcentral lists this small RNA (28 nucleotides) under Bombyx mori (domestic silkworm). RNAcentral's name for it is "ovarian small RNA-23543". Lineage: Eukaryota; Metazoa; Arthropoda; Insecta; Lepidoptera; Bombycidae. The record is from RNAcentral.